This 704-nucleotide ribosomal RNA is filed under the name Priestia megaterium. Its description in RNAcentral is "bacterial SSU rRNA". It matches the Rfam family "Bacterial small subunit ribosomal RNA", at positions 53 to 739 of the family's 1533-position model. Lineage: Bacteria; Bacillati; Bacillota; Bacilli; Caryophanales; Bacillaceae. The record is from RNAcentral.
ACAUGCAGUCGAGCGAACUGAUUAGAAGCUUGCUUCUAUGACGUUAGCGGCGGACGGGUGAGUAACACGUGGGCAACCUGCCUGUAAGACUGGGAUAACUUCGGGAAACCGAAGCUAAUACCGGAUAGGAUCUUCUCCUUCAUGGGAGAUGAUUGAAAGAUGGUUUCGGCUAUCACUUACAGAUGGGCCCGCGGUGCAUUAGCUAGUUGGUGAGGUAACGGCUCACCAAGGCAACGAUGCAUAGCCGACCUGAGAGGGUGAUCGGCCACACUGGGACUGAGACACGGCCCAGACUCCUACGGGAGGCAGCAGUAGGGAAUCUUCCGCAAUGGACGAAAGUCUGACGGAGCAACGCCGCGUGAGUGAUGAAGGCUUUCGGGUCGUAAAACUCUGUUGUUAGGGAAGAACAAGUACAAGAGUAACUGCUUGUACCUUGACGGUACCUAACCAGAAAGCCACGGCUAACUACGUGCCAGCAGCCGCGGUAAUACGUAGGUGGCAAGCGUUAUCCGGAAUUAUUGGGCGUAAAGCGCGCGCAGGCGGUUUCUUAAGUCUGAUGUGAAAGCCCACGGCUCAACCGUGGAGGGUCAUUGGAAACUGGGGAACUUGAGUGCAGAAGAGAAAAGCGGAAUUCCACGUGUAGCGGUGAAAUGCGUAGAGAUGUGGAGGAACACCAGUGGCGAAGGCGGCUUUUUGGUCUGUAA